RNAcentral lists this transfer RNA (67 nucleotides) under marine eukaryotic metagenome. It matches the Rfam family "tRNA". From Rfam's summary of the family: Transfer RNA (tRNA) molecules are approximately 80 nucleotides in length. Their secondary structure includes four short double-helical elements and three loops (D, anti-codon, and T loops). The record is from RNAcentral.
GUGCGUAGCUCAGUUGGUAGAGCAACAGACUUUUAAUCUGUGGGUCGAAGGUUCGAUUCCUUCCGCA